Molecule: long non-coding RNA, 221 nt
Filed under: Capsicum annuum
Lineage: Eukaryota; Viridiplantae; Streptophyta; Magnoliopsida; Solanales; Solanaceae
Description: long non-coding RNA (CANN_LNC000680)
Source: RNAcentral
GGCAGCAACAGGGCCCUCCUCAGCCUUGCUCCCUCUGUAGUUCAUGAAUUUGCUUUUCAAGUUUCUGCAAGGACUCGAGAUGAAUCACCUUGUAAAAAUCUGGAUCAACCAUAUCUAGAAGUGAAGAAGAAUGAACGAGUAAGGAGGGACCUAUUUGUAAAGGAUUGAAUUUGAAUGGGUUAGUCAAAAAGCCAGGACUGUUCACCUCUUUUUAAAUAAAA